UUUUUUCGUGUAAAUCAUUCUUGCAGACGGAGGGGGCCGGCGGAUUGGUCCAGCAGGACACCAUGCGAGUCCCUGCAGCUUGCUGCUGGCCUCCACGCUUUCGGGUUUGCGUUCCAGCAGCUGGAACACAACACAGAACCUAUUACCUGCUCCGUCCUGCUGCCACUUCCGGGUGCCGUUAGCCGGGAGCAGUGUGUGCGGCUGCUGGGCUCGAGCUGUGUGUUAGUGGAAACGAUGUGACAGGCACACCUGUUUCCACUGCCAUUUCCUGUGUAGGGGCCGGACAGAGCUGCCAGGGUGGUCAGAGGUGAAGCUGCUUAAUCACCAGCGUAAGACAGUGUGCUGGGAGAUGAGGAUCUGAAGAUGGAAGACGAUCUGAUUGGAUAGUAUGGGGGCAGGUGGAAGGUGUACUGUGCCUUGCUGAACACUGUCUGCAAGUGCAGCAGGAAAAGUCCCAUCCAGGAAGGAGCUGUGAUGGCGGUGCCUUCUUGGAUCCUUGAUCAGCAUGAAAGAGGGAUCCUGCCUGGCAUUCCUGGUCUUUUGUACCUCCCAGGAACCUACACACCCCUUUAAAGUCGGAGACAGAGUCGUGGUGAAGGUGCUCCCCAGGAACAAGAGCCCAGGAGACUUUACCUACGGUCCAGAGACAGAGGUCGUAGCAGUAACCAGAACAGCAGUCCUGACAGAGGAAAGCCCCACCUGGAUCCAUGCAUCCCGAGUGAAAAAGAUUCCUAGACCAGACCUAGAGAGGGAAGCAAGUGAUUCCAGCGAGGUACAAACGGGGGCAGACAGCCCUGACCUCCCACCUAGCGAAGACAGAAGAACAGAGGAGGAUGAGGAACCUGUCCCCUACCUCUAUCCUGGGGACUAUGUUGAUAAUCCUAAUGGUCCUCACUUGCCAAGCUACAGCUGAAGUAGACAUUACACAAAAAUCCGGCACCUACACAUUUUGGUAUAACUCCUCCAAUACUGAGGUUGCCGCCUAUAAAAUAGAUUUCUGUACCAUUGCUCCCUGUCUUAACAAACAUUAU
Molecule: long non-coding RNA, 1031 nt
Organism: Pseudophryne corroboree (corroboree frog)
Lineage: Eukaryota; Metazoa; Chordata; Amphibia; Anura; Myobatrachidae
Exons: 4
Source: RefSeq, a predicted model, not a curated record